CCUACGGGAGGCAGCAGUGAGGAAUAUUGGUCAAUGGGCGCGAGCCUGAACCAGCCAAGUAGCGUGAAGGAUGACUGCCCUACGGGUUGUAAACUUCUUUUAUAAAGGAAUAAAGUGAGGCACGUGUGCCUUUUUGUAUGUACUUUAUGAAUAAGGAUCGGCUAACUCCGUUCCAGCAUCCGCGGUAAUACGGAGGAUACGAGCGUUGUCCGGAUGUAUUGGUUUUAAAGGGAGCGUAGAUGGGUUGGUAAGUCAGUUGUGAAAGUUUGCGGCUCAACCGUAAAAUUGCAAUUGAUACUGGCAGUGGAGAUGAAAGGUGAGGUAGGCGGAAUUCGUGGGGGAGCGGU
This 347-nucleotide ribosomal RNA is filed under the name uncultured bacterium. RNAcentral describes it as "partial 16S ribosomal RNA". It matches the Rfam family "Bacterial small subunit ribosomal RNA", at positions 338 to 682 of the family's 1533-position model. The record is from RNAcentral.